UACAGAGGUCCCAAGCGUUGUUCGGAUUCACUGGGCGUAAAGGGUGCGUAGGCGGUCGGGUAAGUCUGUCGUGAAAUCUCCGAGCCCAACUCGGAAACUGCGUCGGAUACUAUUCGGCUAGAGGAAUGGAGGGGAGACUGGAAUUCUCGGUGUAGCAGUGAAAUGCGUAGAUAUCGAGAGGAACACCAGUGGCGAAGGCGAGUCUCUGGACAGUUCCUGACGCUGAGGGACGAAAGCGUGGGGAGCAAACAGG
This 253-nucleotide ribosomal RNA is filed under the name uncultured bacterium. RNAcentral's name for it is "partial 16S ribosomal RNA". It matches the Rfam family "Bacterial small subunit ribosomal RNA", at positions 524 to 776 of the family's 1533-position model. The record is from RNAcentral.